GACGAACGCUGGCGGCGUGCUUAACACAUGCAAGUCGAACGGAAAGGCCCUGCUUUUGUGGGGUGCUCGAGUGGCGAACGGGUGAGUAACACGUGAGUAACCUGCCCUUGACUUUGGGAUAACUUCAGGAAACUGGGGCUAAUACCGGAUAGGAGCUCCUGCUGCAUGGUGGGGGUUGGAAAGUUUCGGCGGUUGGGGAUGGACUCGCGGCUUAUCAGCUUGUUGGUGGGGUAGUGGCUUACCAAGGCUUUGACGGGUAGCCGGCCUGAGAGGGUGACCGGCCACAUUGGGACUGAGAUACGGCCCAGACUCCUACGGGAGGCAGCAGUGGGGAAGAGUGCACAAUGGGCGGAAGCCUGAUGCAGCAACGCCGCGUGCGGGAUGACGGCCUUCGGGUUGUAAACCGAUUUCGCCUGUGACGAAGCGUGAGUGACGGUAAUGGGUAAAGAAGCACCGGCUAACUACGUG
This 468-nucleotide ribosomal RNA is filed under the name uncultured bacterium. RNAcentral describes it as "partial 16S ribosomal RNA". It matches the Rfam family "Bacterial small subunit ribosomal RNA", at positions 28 to 507 of the family's 1533-position model. The record is from RNAcentral.